Long non-coding RNA from Eriocheir sinensis (Chinese mitten crab), 3392 nucleotides. RefSeq lists it as uncharacterized. The record is from RefSeq and is a predicted model, not a curated record. Lineage: Eukaryota; Metazoa; Arthropoda; Malacostraca; Decapoda; Varunidae. The transcript has 2 exons.
UUGCUUUAUGAGAUACUUUGCUUCUUGCUUUAUGAGAUACCUUGCUUCUUGUUUUAUGAGAUACUUUGCUUCUUGCUUUAUGAGAUACUUUGCUUCUUGUUUUAUGAGAUACUUUGCUUCUUGCUUUAUGAGAUACUUUGCUUCUUGCUUUAUGAGAUACCUUGCUUCUUGCUUUAUGAGAUACCUUGCUUCUUGUUUUAUGAGAUACCUUGCUUCUUGUUUUAUGAGAUACUUUGCUUCUUGUUUUAUGAGAUACCUUGCUUCUUGUUUUAUGAGAUACCUUGCUUCUUGUUUUAUGAGAUACUUUGCUUCUUGUUUUAUGAGAUACCUUGCUUCUUGUUUUAUGAGAUACCCUGCUUCUUGUUUUAUGAGAGACCUUGCUUCUUGCUUUAUGAGAGACCUUGCUUCUUUUCAGUUGCUGCACACCUUUCGUUUUCUGUCUUCCCAAUAACUUUCUUUACUUCGUCCAGUCCAGCAAAACGGGACAGUUCAUAUCGUUCCCAAUACUCAGGUUUAUAGGCUCGUAAAUAACUUGAUUGAUACCAGAACAUUUUUUUAAUCUUAUAUCUUUGUCAUGUAGCCUUUAUUUGAGGCUAGAAGCUGCUACAUGGCAAAAGUAAUACAAUUCGCUACAAUUUUAGAAGAUAGUUAACAAGAAUAGAAGAAGUAUAGAAGAAAAACUAUAGAAGAAGAACUAUAGAAGAGGAACUAUAGAAGAGGAACUAUAGAAGAGGAACUAUAGAAGAGGAACUAUAGAAGAGGAACUAUAGAAGAAGAACUAUAGAAGAGGAACUAUAGAAGAGGAACUAUAGAAGAGGAACUAUAGAAGAAGAACUAUAGAAGAGGAACUAUAGAAGAGGAACUAUAGAAGAGGAACUAUAGAAGAGGAACUAUAGAAGAAGAACUAUAGAAGAGGAACUAUAGAAGAGGAACUAUAGAAGAAGAACUAUAGAAGAGGAACUAUAGAAGAGGAACUAUAGAAGAAGAACUAUAGAAGAAGAACUAUAGAAGAGGAACUAUAGAAGAGGAACUAUAGAAAAAGAACUAUAGAAGAGGAACUAUAGAAGAGCUUUUAGUGCCCCGUUUAGAAGGAAAGCUACAAGUCUUUAUUAGUACGGUCCCAGGAGGUCAUCUAAUCCCCUUCUCACACAGCAGACACACACACACAUACAAGGAACAGAGACACACAGGAGACACAUAGAUCAUAGUUUUAUUCCUUAGCGCUACAAGUGGAGUAAUACUGUACAUGGCUGGGGGGAGGGGUCGAGUAGGUUCCCCCCCCCGUAUAGGAACGCCCAGAGCAGACUGCAGGAAUGUUCUUGGGUGACAGCACGGCCAGGGAGAGCCAGGGAGACAGUGACCAGGGAGGGAGAGGAAGGGAGGGGAAGGAAAAGAGGAAUAACUGUCAUGAAUAAGGGAGAUAAGGUUGUAGAUUUUAGAGGGAGUGGUGUGCUUUCAAGGGAGGGGAGGAAGGGAGGGAGAGGAUAGGAAGGAAAAGAAGAAAAGGGAGAGGAAGGGAGGGGAAGGAAAAGAGGAAGAGGCAGGGAGGGAGAAUAACUGUCAUGAAUAAGGGAGAUAAGGUUGUAGAUUUUAGAGGAAGGGAGUGGUGUGCUUUCAAGGGAGGGAGAGGAUAGGAAGGAAAAAAAAAAGGGAGAGGAAGGGAGGGAAGGAAAUACUAGCUGAAGGAAGAGAGGUAAGGGAGUACUUUUGGGGGUAAGGGAGUUUUGAGUGCAGGAGGAGGGAAAGAGAAUAACAGAAAGGGUGAGGGAGAGGAAAGGAGAGAAGGGAGUUUAUGGAACAGGUUUUAUGGGUAGAGAGAGAGAGAGAGAGAGAGAGAGAGAGAGAGAAUGGAGGACUUACAGGGAGGAAAGGAAGGAGGUAACAGCUGGAGGGUAUAGUGUCCCUCCUUCCUCUUUCCUCCUCCUCCUCCUCCUCCUCCUCCUCCUCCUCUGGUCACGAUCGUCCUCAGUAAAUUCUCUACUUAUUUUAUUUUUUUUCUUCACCUCAAAACAAACAACAAAAAAUAUAAAUAAUAAUAAUACGAAAAUAACGAUGCGAUACAAAAAAAUUCUACGACACGGAAUACGAAAAUAAAGCGAUACGGAGAGUCACGUCUAUAAUAAUAAUAAUAAUAAUAAUAAUGAUAAUAAUGAUAAUGAGUAUAAAGUUGAUGUCUGUCGUCGUAUUUUGCUUUAUUGGGGAGUUUGUCUGUCUGUUUUUAUUACGACUAUUAACAUUAACAUUAUUUAUUUAUUCUCUUUUAUCCUUCACAAAACUUAAAUUAUUCUUUUAUAUUUACUGUAUGUACAUUUCCUAGCACGAGUAGUUAACAUCACGGCAACGCUUUACUAACUACGAGACUACACACACACACACACACACACACACACACACAAAAAAAAAAAAAAAAAAAAAAGAUGAACUCAUACGUACACACACUAAAAAAAGGUGAACACAUUAGUACACUCACAUUCUCUCUCUCUCUCUCUCUCUCUCUCUCUCUCUCUCUCUCUCUCUCUCUCUCUCUCUCUCUCUCUCAUUAGUACACUCACAUACUCUCUCUCUCUCUCUCUCUCUCUCUCUCUCUCUCUCUCUCUCUCUCUCAUACAUAUAUAUACUCUCUCUAUAAUUAACUCUUGAUUGCUGGAUGAUGAGUCUCCUUCACCUAAAUAAUGCCUCACUGUAGAGUCCUUCAGUGCACACAAUGACUUCACUAUAAGACAUAACGAUAGUGACUGGAUAACACAUACAUGGCUACUCGUGGUGAUGAUGGUGAUGAUGAUGAUGAUGAUGGUGAUGAUGGUGGUGGUGAUGGUGAUUGCUUUGGUAAUAUUAUAAGACGCGGGUCCCGGCUUGACACACUCACUAUCACUGGCUUUCACUCAGUCAGUCUCACUUAUUGCCUUGAGUAUCUGACACGGAGUAAAGUCUUGAGGUGUUAAUUAAUGUCUCCGCUCAGGUAAGUCACGGAGACACCUUAAUGAGAUACCUUGCUUCUUUCCACCUGCUACACACCUUUCGUUUUCUUUCUUCCCAAUAACUUUCUUUACCUCUUUCAUUGUCACUGUGAUCACUCGGGAGAGAUUCUGAUUUGAUUUUUCAUUUCACUCAUAUUUUCUUCGUAAUUUUUCUUUAUAUGAGCUUUUGGGAUGGAAGUUUGUGUGUUUUCCUUCUUUGUAGCUGCUGGUUUUCCUCUCGUUCUUGUUGUGCAUCAGCGGUAGGACACGGAGGAACUAAAUAUGGCACUAGAUUGGGGUAGAGAGUUGUAGAAAGGAAAGGAAAUGCUGGGGAAGAAGAGAGGGGACGAGCUAGCUAAGACUUCAGUAAAGGAAAGGAAAUACUGGGGAAGAUGAAAGGGGGACGAGCUAGCUAAGACUUCGGUAGAGAGAAAA